UUGCGGCCUUUGUAAUUAUGUUAUUGGUUGGUAUUGUAGAGGGUACCAUCAAAGGCUGCAAAAAUCGGUUAGGAACAGAGGUGCAGAGCUGCUGCAGCUAUGCUGCGGCUGCCCUCUUUUCUGUGGCAUCCUUCGGUUAUGGCUGGGGAAGUGCAGGAGACAGGAGUGCUGCCAUCUUUCCCUAUUUGGCAAAGUCCUUGGCCUUCCAACCUAAGGUGAGGGAAUCGACUGCCAUUGCCGAUGUGCUGUGAAGUGUGCCCGCUGCCUUGGGACGGCGGUUCGUUUGGGCCCGGCCCGGAGAGAGUGUGAUUUUGGGCUCAAAGAACACAGGCCCGAAGUUUGGCACUCCUAAAUUUGUAAUUGGAUAUUGCUUUCCAAGUUUUCUUUCUUUCUAUUCUCAAAUCAAGUGUGAAACAUUUAUAAGAGUUAAAAUAUAUUGCUUUCGAGCACCUUUAGUUCGGAAUAAACAAAUAUCAUCGUUCUUCUUUCA
Molecule: long non-coding RNA, 490 nt
Organism: Salvia splendens (bonfire salvia)
Lineage: Eukaryota; Viridiplantae; Streptophyta; Magnoliopsida; Lamiales; Lamiaceae
Exons: 2
Source: RefSeq, a predicted model, not a curated record